UCCGUGCUGAGAUUAGCUUGCAAGGGCCAG
This 30-nucleotide small RNA is filed under the name Bombyx mori (domestic silkworm). Its description in RNAcentral is "ovarian small RNA-7350". The record is from RNAcentral. Lineage: Eukaryota; Metazoa; Arthropoda; Insecta; Lepidoptera; Bombycidae.